Molecule: long non-coding RNA, 301 nt
Organism: Culex quinquefasciatus (southern house mosquito)
Lineage: Eukaryota; Metazoa; Arthropoda; Insecta; Diptera; Culicidae
Exons: 3
Source: RefSeq, a predicted model, not a curated record
UGUAGGCUGAUUAAAGUGAACAAGUCGCAGAAGACAGCUUGAAACUGCGUCCGGUGCAGAGAGAGUGGUCACCGAGGCUAGGCUGCGGCCAGUGCCCUACAAAAGUGGCAUCGAUGCUGUGAGCGUCGGAAUGAUGUGAGAUCGGCCCUAUUUUCUUUUCCACAUUACUUCAAGAUAUUCAACAAAAUGGCGGCUGGAGGAGUACAAUUUCUGCAGCAGUGGAUCAAGCAGCGCUGGACGAGCGAUGCAGCAGGAGAAUCGGCUGGAAGCCGGUGCGGUCCGUUCAUUUCGGUGGGAUGCU